This 497-nucleotide ribosomal RNA is filed under the name uncultured bacterium. RNAcentral's name for it is "partial 16S ribosomal RNA". It matches the Rfam family "Bacterial small subunit ribosomal RNA", at positions 28 to 507 of the family's 1533-position model. The record is from RNAcentral.
GAUGAACGCUGGCGGCGUGCCUAAUACAUGCCAGUCGAGCGAACAGACGAGGAGCUUGCUCCUCUGACGUUAGCGGCGGACGGGUGAGUAACACGUGGAUAACCUACCUAUAAGACUGGGAUAACUUCGGGAAACCGGAGCUAAUACCGGAUAAUAUAUUGAACCGCAUGGUUCAAUAGUGAAAGACGGUUUUGCUGUCACUUAUAGAUGGAUCCGCGCCGCAUUAGCUAGUUGGUAAGGUAACGGCUUACCAAGGCAACGAUGCGUAGCCGACCUGAGAGGGUGAUCGGCCACACUGGAACUGAGACACGGUCCAGACUCCUACGGGAGGCAGCAGUAGGGAAUCUUCCGCAAUGAGCGAAAGCCUGACGGAGCAACGCCGCGUGAGUGAUGAAGGUCUUCGGAUCGUAAAACUCUGUUAUUAGGGAAGAACAAAUGUGUAAGUAACUAUGCACGUCUUGACGGUACCUAAUCAGAAAGCCACGGCUAACUACGUG